This 56-nucleotide microRNA precursor is filed under the name Ciona intestinalis (vase tunicate). RNAcentral's name for it is "Cin-Mir-135-P8_pre stem-loop". The record is from RNAcentral. Lineage: Eukaryota; Metazoa; Chordata; Ascidiacea; Phlebobranchia; Cionidae.
UAUGGCUUUCUUUUCCUGUGUGACGUCAUAUCUCUCACAGUAAAGUAAGCCAUUAU